GAUUCAUAUUACAUUUGGGAAAAAAAGAAGAUUCAAGAACUGAAAGCUAAAUCCCUCAGAAGAAAAAUCGUACAUCAAGAGUUGAAGGAAGAUCUAGAGAGAUGCAGAAAACAAUUUUCUUAAGAAUACAGCUGUUUCUGAGCUUCCAUCUACAUCUCGCUGGGCUUCACCAAGAGGAUGUAAUAGAAGGCCAAAUAUGAAUUGGAAUCCAGUUUCCAAGGGGAACUAAGCAAUACUGAGGAAAUUUUUAAAAAAAUUAUGAGCUUUAAAAAAAGGAAGAAAUAAUGUACAUUGAGCUUUGAGAACUCUACUCCCAUCACUAUCAGUUUGAUAUCAAAGCUCUGUAUAUAAGACUCAAGAGCUGUGACUUGCAGAAUCCAAGUUAAUUUGCUUCAUUAUAGAAAUUUAGCAUCCCUCCACCAUUGUUUUUCCUUCUCAUAGUGACCAAGCCCACUGUGACAGAGUUAAUAAUUAAAUGCAAAGUCCCCCCAAAAUUUCUUGUACCUCUGAAUUAAUCACUGGUUUAAUAGGAGCAGGUGAUCAUCUUAUGAGCACUUAGAGCAUCCAAUUCAUGAUUUGUACCAUUUCCUCACACCUAUACUAAGGAGAAGCCUAUCCAUUUGUGAGAUAUUUCUUACUUCACCCAUCUUGUGACUCUGCUGACAUAUGAUUUCACUUAACCAUCACAUGUCAAUCAGUGGAAUUAUUCACUAUCUAUUAUGGCUGUUCUUGAAUGUCCAGACCUCUAACCUUAUAAAAAUCGGGCCCUUGAAGGACGAGGAAUCUCAGAUCGUGGGGAAGAGCUGAGCUCUUCUUCAUUAGAGAGAACUGUGGAUCCUUUAAGUCAGUGCCCUUGCUCAGAGCUCGACCUUAGGCUCUUCUACUGGAGGUGGGAUACUUUUUUUUUAAUAAUUUUUUAUUGAUAGAAUGCAUGCCAGGGUAAUUUUUUACAGCAUUAUCCCUUGCAUUCAUUUUUGUUCCGAUUUUUCCCCUCCCUCCCUCCACCCCUUCCCCCAAAUGGCAAGAGUCCUUUACAUGUUGAAUGGGUUGCAGUAUAUCCUAGAUACAAUAUAUGUGUGCAGAACCAAACAGUUUUCUUGUUGCACAGGGAGAAUUGAAUUCAGAAGGUAUAAAUAACCCAGGAAGAAAAACAAAAAUGCAAGCAGUUUAUAUUCAUUUCCAGUGUUCUUUCUCUGGGUGUAGCUGCUUCUAUCCAUCUUUGAUCAAUUAAGGCUCUCUUUAUCAAAGAGGUCCACUUCCAUCAGAAUACAUCCUCAAACAGUAUUGUUGUUGAGGUAUAUAAUGAUCUCCUGGUUCUGCUCAUUUCACUCAGCAUCAGUUCAUGUAAGUCUCGCCAGUCCUCUCUAUAUUCAUGGAGGUGGGAUACUCUUAAUUUCCAUAGUGAUAACUCCUCUGGUGGGAUAGUAAUGCAUGGGCCACAGCCUUUUUUGACCAAUCCCUGCAAGGACCCAAAAAGCAAAUGCUCACAAAGUGGCAUUUUCAUGGAAGGAUUGUCCACGGACACUGGCCCCUUGCUAUCUGCACAUAUAUUCUCUGCACCUAAGUCCGGGGAGAGAUUCAGCAAUGGAAUUGCCAGUUCUUCACUUUCAGCCAGCUAGCUAAUUUUGAAACUUUGUGUUGGUAAGGUAAAAAUCAUUUUUAUUUUAAACUUUAAAUUUAUUUGACAAGAAGUAAUCAUUCUUCUCAUCAGAAGAAAUAUUUCCUAUUCCUAUUAUAAACACACUUCUUGUUACUAUAAAAAGAUAAAUUAAACAAAUAGUUUUGCAGAUUAUCCUAUUUUGUUUUUCUGUCUACUUAAUUACUUAUGUGCUGCUACAAAAAGGGAAGGAAUAUCAAUCUGCUACUGCUCUGAUCUUGAUAAAAAUUUUCAGUGUGGCCAUGUAAUUGAAAGCUGUAGUGAAGUUUUGCUACAGUUAUUCUAUAGUUCACUUUAAAUAGUUUGUCAUUUUUUUAGAAAAAGAAAUAGAUUCUAAAUCAUGAAAUAUAAUGUUCUUGAGAUCCUAUCCCAGCUGAGACUCUAGACAAGUAGUAAUGUACAAACCCCCAAUGUCUUAUUCUGUACAGUUCCCAUUGCCACAUAACAUAAGACAAUUUAUUUGAAUUAUGUUUAUGAUAUGAAAUGAGACUAGAGACAAUGUGCCACCUUUUCAGCAUUGAGAAAUUGAAAAUUUUUAUGCUUUUUUAAAUGCCCCAUAGCAAAAUCAUUCCUGACUAUCUA
RNA transcript from Antechinus flavipes (yellow-footed antechinus), 2239 nucleotides. It is a transcript of the gene named ankyrin repeat domain-containing protein 26-like, with no coding region annotated. The record is from RefSeq and is a predicted model, not a curated record. The transcript has 4 exons. Lineage: Eukaryota; Metazoa; Chordata; Mammalia; Dasyuromorphia; Dasyuridae.